This is a non-coding RNA of Schistosoma rodhaini, 45 nucleotides long. The record is from Rfam. NCBI's taxonomy places the organism in Eukaryota, Metazoa, Platyhelminthes, Trematoda, Strigeidida, Schistosomatidae.
AUCCAGCUGACGAGUCUCAAAUAGGACGAAAUGCGCGUCCUAGAU